CUACCUACGGGGGAAGCAGUGGGGGAUAUUGCACAAUGGGGGAAACCCUGAUGCAGCGACGCCGCGUGAGUGAAGAAGUAUUUCGGUAUGUAAAGCUCUAUCAGCAGGGAAGAAAAAAGACGGUACCUGACUAAGAAGCCCCGGCUAACUACGUGCCAGCAGCCGCGGUAAUACGUAGGGGGCAAGCGUUAUCCGGAUUUACUGGGUGUAAAGGGAGCGUAGACGGCGAUGCAAGUCUGAAGUGAAAGCCCGGGGCUCAACCCCGGGACUGCUUUGGAAACUGUAUGGCUGGAGUGCUGGAGAGG
RNAcentral lists this ribosomal RNA (305 nucleotides) under uncultured bacterium. RNAcentral describes it as "bacterial SSU rRNA". It matches the Rfam family "Bacterial small subunit ribosomal RNA", at positions 335 to 657 of the family's 1533-position model. The record is from RNAcentral.